RNAcentral lists this ribosomal RNA (432 nucleotides) under uncultured bacterium. Its description in RNAcentral is "bacterial SSU rRNA". It matches the Rfam family "Bacterial small subunit ribosomal RNA", at positions 116 to 566 of the family's 1533-position model. The record is from RNAcentral.
CGUAGGAAUCUACCCAGUAGCGGGGGAUAGCCCGGGGAAACUCGGAUUAAUACCGCAUACGCCCUACGGGGAAAGGCGGGGAUCUCUUCGGAGACCUGUCACUAUUGGAGGAGCCUGCGUUGGAUUAGCUAGUUGGUGGGGUAAAGGCCUACCAAGGCGACGAUCCAUAGCUGGUCUGAGAGGACGAUCAGCCACACUGGAACUGAGACACGGUCCAGACUCCUACGGGAGGCAGCAGUAGGGAAUCUUAGACAAUGGGGGAAACCCUGAUCUAGCCAUGCCGCGUGAGUGACGAAGGCCCUAGGGUCGUAAAGCUCUUUCAACUGUGAAGAUAAUGACGGUAGCAGUAGAAGAAACCCCGGCUAACUCCGUGCCAGCAGCCGCGGUAAUACGGAGGGGGUUAGCGUUGUUCGGAAUUACUGGGCGUAAAGC